CCUGUUUCUUAGUGUAUGUAUGUCAUAUGUCUGAGACAAACAGAAGAGAAUAAUUGUGAAGUGGAAGAAAAAUGAUUCAUGUUUUUUUUAUUGUGUUGCUAUUUCACAUUCCUGUAUCUAACUUACUCUGUUGACACAUGUAAAGCCACCAUGUAUAGGUUAUGUUACUUGCACUCCAAAACCAAGGAAUGAAGACAGGACAUUACGUUUCCAAACUUAUAAUCAUAAACAUUAAAGUUUAAUGACUUCUACACCAAUCAUGUUUAGAUCAAAUAACACGAUGCCACCUGAUUUUAUUCAAAGAUUUCCACAGAAACAUAAGAGGGGCAAUAAAUAUACAUCAGAUAUAUGUUGCCAACCAAACAUGAAGGCGUGUAAAUCUCAGUCUGUACCAUCAUUUCUUUGAACAGUAUUGAGUGAAGAGUCAGAAACGGUUAAAGCCAUAAGGCAACUCCAUGGAAAAUAACAGACAGACCUGAUAUUCACCAGACUCAAAGAGAAGAAGAAAACGGGACAUCAAUCGAGCUCUGACGUUAACGCAGCUUUAAGGCGCUUCAUACUGAGCUUUUAAACAUUUCCAUUCAGCAGAAGCGUCAUCUUCAUUUUUUUCCCUCCCCUUUCAUUUUUAUAUAUUUCAACUAUUCAGACAGAAACACGACAGCACAACUGGCUGGAGCGAUCUAAUAGUCGAAGAAAUUAAGCCUGAAGAGAAAAUCAUACCUGAGCAACUAAAGCAUCGGCAUUACCUCUUUGGAAACGUCUGUCCGAGACGAGAACGAGUCUUAUCUAAAUUGCUUUUAAGAGCUGGAGGAAGUGAACCUCGGGGGGGGGAAGACGGAAUCACGUACUCAUGUAGAAGAAAAUACAGCUUAUGGGGAAAAAACCCAGAUAUGAUACAAAACUGGAGAACUAACCUUUUAAAAUAACUAACUUUAUAUUUCAUGGUGCAUAUUUUCUUCUGAUUAAGCAGAGCAACACACCACGGAUUAGAAAAGUGACUCAGUUAACACUUGUUACAGCCGUUCUGCCUUCAUCAUGAGGAGUUUCUUCCUCCAGGAUUUCUCACUGCUGACCAUGUAGCAGAAUGGUGAAACCAGCAGCAGGAAUAAAGCCGAGCAGAGGGUCGAGCUGUAAGUGCAGCGUCGUGGUGUCCGGCGUCCGGUCAGUGGGUGACCCAGUAAUGAAAUGUGAUUCAGGUGGUAGAUGGAUAUCUGGAGUGAAACAUCCCCCCCCGCCCUGCGCUGACUGGCUGCAGCCCAGACGUCGCCUUGCGCCCGCUCCCGCUGUAAAGUGUGAUCUGCGGCGUUUGGCCUUUUGUCUGGGACAAUUAUGUUCACCAUUAACAAGCUUCCUUCUGUUAUUGUUCAUAUCAAUUAGGGCUGGAUGGUAAUUUGAGCUGAUGGUGGAGCCGGCGCCGGGAGAUGCCGGCCUGAUGUGGAGAGUGUAUUUUAGGGGGAGGGGAGCAAUUAAAGCAGCAAUAAAGCAUUUUGUUCAGUUUAUUGGUGGUGUGGGUGUGUGUGUGUGUGUGWGU
This is a long non-coding RNA of Poecilia reticulata (guppy), 1531 nucleotides long. RefSeq lists it as uncharacterized. The record is from RefSeq and is a predicted model, not a curated record. Lineage: Eukaryota; Metazoa; Chordata; Actinopteri; Cyprinodontiformes; Poeciliidae.